This 967-nucleotide long non-coding RNA is filed under the name Homo sapiens (human). RNAcentral's name for it is "HSALNT0239865". Lineage: Eukaryota; Metazoa; Chordata; Mammalia; Primates; Hominidae. The record is from RNAcentral.
AGAAGGACACGGGCAGCAGACAGUGGUCAGUCCUUUCUUGGCUCUGCUGACACUCGAGCCCACAUUCCGUCACCUGCUCAGAAUCAUGCAGGUCUCCACUGCUGCCCUUGCUGUCCUCCUCUGCACCAUGGCUCUCUGCAACCAGUUCUCUGCAUCACGUGAGUCUGAGUUUCGUUGUGGGUAUCACCACUCUCUGGCCAUGGUUAGACCACAUCAAUCUUUUCUUGUGGCCUAAAAGCCCCCAAGAGAAAAGAGAACUUCUUAAAGGGCUGCCAAACAUCUUGGUCUUUCUCUUUAAGACUUUUAUUUUUAUCUCUAGAAGGGGUCUUAGCCCCCUAGUCUCCAGUUGCUGCUGACACGCCGACCGCCUGCUGCUUCAGCUACACCUCCCGGCAGAUUCCACAGAAUUUCAUAGCUGACUACUUUGAGACGAGCAGCCAGUGCUCCAAGCCCGGUGUCAUCUUCCUAACCAAGCGAAGCCGGCAGGUCUGUGCUGACCCCAGUGAGGAGUGGGUCCAGAAAUAUGUCAGCGACCUGGAGCUGAGUGCCUGAGGGGUCCAGAAGCUUCGAGGCCCAGCGACCUCGGUGGGCCCAGUGGGGAGGAGCAGGAGCCUGAGCCUUGGGAACAUGCGUGUGACCUCCACAGCUACCUCUUCUAUGGACUGGUUGUUGCCAAACAGCCACACUGUGGGACUCUUCUUAACUUAAAUUUUAAUUUAUUUAUACUAUUUAGUUUUUGUAAUUUAUUUUCGAUUUCACAGUGUGUUUGUGAUUGUUUGCUCUGAGAGUUCCCCUGUCCCCUCCCCCUUCCCUCACACCGCGUCUGGUGACAACCGAGUGGCUGUCAUCAGCCUGUGUAGGCAGUCAUGGCACCAAAGCCACCAGACUGACAAAUGUGUAUCGGAUGCUUUUGUUCAGGGCUGUGAUCGGCCUGGGGAAAUAAUAAAGAUGCUCUUUUAAAAGGUAA